Molecule: ribosomal RNA, 457 nt
Filed under: uncultured bacterium
Lineage: Bacteria
Description: bacterial SSU rRNA
Rfam family: Bacterial small subunit ribosomal RNA
Source: RNAcentral
GAUGAACGCUAGCGGCAGGCUUAACACAUGCAAGUCGAGGGGUAUGCCGAUUUAUCGGCAGAGACCGGCGCACGGGUGCGUAACGCGUAUGCAAUCUACCUUUCACAGAGGAUAGCCCAGAGAAAUUUGGAUUAAUACCUCAUAGUAUAGCGGUUUCGCAUGAAACCACUAUUAAAGUUCCAACGGUGAAAGAUGAGCAUGCGUCCCAUUAGCUAGAUGGUAAGGUAACGGCUUACCAUGGCUACGAUGGGUAGGGGUCCUGAGAGGGAGAUCCCCCCANACUGGUACUGAGACACGGACCAGACUCCUACGGGAGGCAGCAGUGAGGAAUAUUGGUCAAUGGGACGCAAGUCUGAACCAGCCAUGCCGCGUGCAGGAUGACGGUCCUAUGGAUUGUAAACUGCUUUGUACGAGAAGAAACACAUUACGUGUAAUGUCUUGACGGUAUCGUAAGAAU